Long non-coding RNA from Drosophila pseudoobscura, 957 nucleotides. RefSeq lists it as uncharacterized. The transcript is spliced from 3 exons. The record is from RefSeq and is a predicted model, not a curated record. NCBI's taxonomy places the organism in Eukaryota, Metazoa, Arthropoda, Insecta, Diptera, Drosophilidae.
UUUGUGUGUGGCACGAGUCGCUUCAGUUUCGUUUAGGAUAUCGAACACAACGGUUUGGCCCACGGACCAGAGACCCCUCCACUUGACUCCACCCCGACACUCGUUGCGACUGGACUCUCGACUGCCGACUCGACUUCCGACUCUGACUCCGACACGAUUCGAUUCGAUUGGACCCUCGACCAGAGGCAACAUCAGAGUGUGCCACUUAUUCGGUCUUUGGCCAGCCAGCGCAUCGAACACGCGUUGCAUUUCGCAUUCAUUCGGUGUCUCCGUGCCUCACGUGCUUGCCACACGGUGCUUGCUCGGUGUCUCGGUGUUGCUGUCGUCGCGUUCCCGCGUUUGUUGCCCCUCCCCCCCAUCCCCCCCCGCGUGUGCUGGGGCACCACCGCCGAUUGUUGCUCCGUUUUUUGUUAAGUGCCAAAACAAUCAAAAUACAAAUAUCAAAAAGUGCUAAGAAAGUGACUGCCAGGACUGCAAGGACUGUGCUAAAGUGUGUGGCAUACUAUGAUGGGCCUGCCCCAAUAAGUGGCAUAAGCGUGCGCCAGAGUGCCAGAGUGCGAGAGUGUGGCAGUGGAAGUCUCUCCAUUAAAACUCUAUCGCUGGCGAAAAAUUCAAAAAACUCAAACCACGCCCACCCGCCGCACCGAAAGGGGGGAAAGCGGGAUAAAAAAGGCGCCAAGUAGCAGGUCUUUCGGGCGAGCGACAAGCCCUGGAAAAAACUCGGGAAAAAACUGCAAAAAAAAACAAACUUAAAGUUCGGGUAAGUCUCUGAAGGAGCGGCUGGGCCGUGGCGCUGUGGUGCUGUGGCGCCUCCUUUUGUGGCCCGUAGCUCGAUAAUGAAGUUGAAUGUGUUGACAAGUUUAUUUGCUUAAUUUUUGCCCGGCACGCCAUUUUUGAGUUGCCAGCGACUGUCGCGGGGGCCGCCAGAAAGAGGCCGCCGGGAGUGGCCGCCAACGC